UACAUAGGGUCCAAGCGUUGUCCGGAAUUAUUGGGCGUAAAGAGCUCGUAGGCGGUCCGUUAAGUCGGAAGUGAAAUCUCAAGGCUCAACCUUGAAAUCGCUUUCGAUACUGGCGGACUUGAGGCAGGUAGGGGAAGGUGGAAUUCCUGGUGUAGCGGUGAAAUGCGCAGAUAUCAGGAGGAACACCGGUGGCGAAGGCGGCCUUCUGGGCCUGUUCUGACGCUGAGGAGCGAAAGCGUGGGGAGCAAACAGG
This 253-nucleotide ribosomal RNA is filed under the name uncultured bacterium. RNAcentral describes it as "partial 16S ribosomal RNA". It matches the Rfam family "Bacterial small subunit ribosomal RNA", at positions 524 to 776 of the family's 1533-position model. The record is from RNAcentral.